This 506-nucleotide ribosomal RNA is filed under the name uncultured bacterium. RNAcentral describes it as "partial 16S ribosomal RNA". It matches the Rfam family "Bacterial small subunit ribosomal RNA", at positions 29 to 523 of the family's 1533-position model. The record is from RNAcentral.
AGUGAACGCUGGCGGUAGGCCUAACACAUGCAAGUCGAACGGCAGCACAGGAGAGCUUGCUCUCUGGGUGGCGAGUGGCGGACGGGUGAGGAAUACAUCGGAAUCUACUCUGUCGUGAGGGAUAACGUAGGGAAACUUACGCUAAUACCGCAUACGACCUACGGGUGAAAGCAGGGGAUCUUCGGACCUUGCGCGAUUGAAUGAGCCGAUGUCGGAUUAGCGAGUUGGCGGGGUAAAGGCCCACCAAGGCGACGAUCCGUAGCUGGUCUGAGAGGAUGAUCAGCCACACUGGAACUGAGACACGGUCCAGACUCCUACGGGAGGCAGCAGUGGGGAAUAUUGGACAAUGGGCGCAAGCCUGAUCCAGCCAUACCGCGUGGGUGAAGAAGGCCUUCGGGUUGUAAAGCCCUUUUGUUGGGAAGGAAAUCCAGCUGGCUAAUACCCGGUUGGGAUGACGGUACCCAAAGAAUAAGCACCGGCUAACUUCGUGCCAGCAGCCGCCGUAA